This 482-nucleotide ribosomal RNA is filed under the name uncultured bacterium. RNAcentral's name for it is "partial 16S ribosomal RNA". It matches the Rfam family "Bacterial small subunit ribosomal RNA", at positions 30 to 507 of the family's 1533-position model. The record is from RNAcentral.
AUUGAACGCUGGCGGCAUGCCUUACACAUGCAAGUCGAACGGUAACGGGCCUUCGGGUGCCGACGAGUGGCGAACGGGUGAGUAAUACAUCGGAACGUGCCCGAUCGUGGGGGAUAACGAGGCAAAAGCUUUGCUAAUACCGCAUACGAUCUACGGAUGAAAGCAGGGGACCGCAAGGCCUUGCGCGGACGGAGCGGCCGAUGGCAGAUUAGGUAGUUGGUGGGAUAAAAGCUUACCAAGCCGACGAUCUGUAGCUGGUCUGAGAGGAUGAUCAGCCACACUGGGACUGAGACACGGCCCAGACUCCUACGGGAGGCAGCAGUGGGGAAUUUUGGACAAUGGGCGCAAGCCUGAUCCAGCCAUGCCGCGUGCAGGAUGAAGGCCUUCGGGUUGUAAACUGCUUUUGUACGGAACGAAAAGCCUUCUUUUAAUACAGGAGGGUCAUGACGGUACCGUAAGAAUAAGCACCGGCUAACUACGUG